This 1175-nucleotide unclassified non-coding RNA is filed under the name Hevea brasiliensis (rubber tree). Lineage: Eukaryota; Viridiplantae; Streptophyta; Magnoliopsida; Malpighiales; Euphorbiaceae. The record is from RNAcentral.
UCUUGAAAUCGAUGGGCAGAUACAGAAAAUCAAAAGUGCCUUUAUGUUGUUCGUCAAUAGCAGCUAAAAGCAUCUUGGAGGUGUACUUGUUAGGAAUAUUUUUAAUCAUCAAAGUUGUCCGAGUAUCUUCACCACAUCUAAUCUUAUCCAAAUCAAGUAGAAAGAGCUUCUUGUUAUCCAUCUGGUUCCCAUUAUUAUUUUCAACACGUCGAGUGCGACUGCGUUCAGUCAGCCCCUCAAAGCUAGUAGCUGCAUGUCCUGGGAAAUGACCAUUACCUAGGAACAAUGGACUAAGUUUUUGGGAAGAGAUCAUGCCAAACCUAGGAGAAGCAUUGUCUGACAUAUUCCUUGGAACAGCAACACCAGCAUUCAAAGUAGUACGAGAACCAUAGUUAACCAUCAAACUUUCAUCACGAGUACCUAUACCCAUGCCCCUAAAACCUGGGCUCAAGAUUGACGAGUCUGGGUAAAAACCAAAGUGCCUAUCAAGGGGAAGACCAGAUGGAGCAGAUCCAAUAUGAUGAAGGUGGUGCUGAGAUGAAUUGAGGAAAGAUUUUUGAUGAUUUGACAAGGAAAACCUGUCGCCCUGACCACCAAAUGAAAAAGCAUUUCCCAAAGACUCAGUUUUCCAGGCUGAAGAAUUACUCUGUUGAGACUGCAACUUUGGACUGCCCCAGAGAAACUGUGGUCCUGAUAGUGUUUCAACAGCAGAACCAUUUGUACUUGAAGCACCAAAAGAGGACAUUGUUCCACCAAAGUGGCUUAUUUUAGGCUCGGCGAAAGAAUUAGACUGAGGGAAGGGAACACCAUGGUUUGAACCAAUUGGGAAAUCUGCACGGCCACUCAUUGUGCGAGCAUUACCAAUAGGUGCUACCCUCAAGGUAUUUGAUGCACGAGGAUGCAAAAUUGAAGCUAACCCAUGUAAAUUAUUGGCAAUGGUGGGACUCAGGGAUCUAAAGCCUGGUGAAGUGCCAGGACUUUGCAUGGAGCCGUGCUCUAUAGGGCUGCCAAAUUGUGGCCAAUUACCUGGGGAGGAAGUACCAAUUGAGGAAACCAAUGGAUGCCGAAAAGUCCAAGAAUCAUCUUGUUCAGAGUCUUGAGAUGAUUGCAAUACAAGAUUUCGUCGAGCUCCUCCAGGGCGGCUUGGUUCAAGCUUUAUGCGCUUGCCAGCUAUG